This 67-nucleotide transfer RNA is filed under the name Coralliophila squamulosa. RNAcentral describes it as "tRNA-Ser". The record is from RNAcentral. Lineage: Eukaryota; Metazoa; Mollusca; Gastropoda; Neogastropoda; Muricidae.
AAGUUAUUCCCUGGGGGCAGUUUGUCUUGAAAAUAAACUAAAAGUGUUCAAUUCACUUAAUAACUUU